This is a long non-coding RNA of Cephus cinctus (wheat stem sawfly), 9025 nucleotides long. RefSeq lists it as uncharacterized. Lineage: Eukaryota; Metazoa; Arthropoda; Insecta; Hymenoptera; Cephidae. The transcript is spliced from 3 exons. The record is from RefSeq and is a predicted model, not a curated record.
GGCGUCUCGGCGCAUUCGUAAACAAACUUUCAUUCCGUUUGGAGGUCCGAAGAACACCGGAAGUCCCUUUUCAAGCCUUCGUGCAUCGAGGACGUCGUUACGUCGCAUGUGUCUUUCUACCUGGUGAAGAUGUAGACACACAACGAGAGCAGCACGGAGUGGCCGCUUACCAGCACCCUAUGGGGUCGUUGCUAAAACAAUCCGUUCACAACCGUGUCUGAUGUGGUUGGAGUAUGGAUUUUGAAGAACGCGAGAAAAAAAAUAGAGCGCUUUAGAGUACGAUCGAGAUUUGUCCUUGGCAACGUCACUCUCUGAAACAAAAUCUGUCUCAAGAGACAUACAAAGAGACAAAAGAAUACAAAUAGAGGCACAAGGCGAGAGUCUUCGCCCGUGGAUUGGAAUAAGAAGGCAGAGAAUCGAGCAAAAAAGCAAAGGAGCGUUACUUGUCUAUCCAUUCGCGACUUUUCGCGAGCGAAUCACCGAGAGGAUAGGCAAAAUUCCGAGAGGGUUGUUGGAUUUGACGCAGGCAGUACCUUUUUCGGUGCUGUAAUAGUUAGAACGCCGUCCGAGGACAGGCUCGAGGUAACAUUUUCCACAUCGUGAGACGAGGGCAGGACGUAUCUUCUGACGAAGUGUCUGCUGAUAUAGCCGUGUUCGUCUUGCUUCUCUUCGUGUUUGGCCUCGACGAUCACGUUAUUGUCGACCGUCUUCACCGUGAUCUCCUCCGGUGAGAAUUGCUGAACAUCCAGUAUCACCUGUAAGCGUAAAAUUUAUUUGACUUGAAGCUCCAGUUGCAUAAUUACUUUUCUUAACUACUCAACCGAUAACCACCGUAUACAUCUACUUCUACGUAUGACUUGUACUUGGCAAAAAAAUCCUGUUAAUACUGAAAUUCUCAUCAAGAGUAAAAAGAAGCUUCUGUCAAAACUUAAAACACACUGAUCCACUCAGUGUGUGACUUAAAUUGAGAAAAAAUCUCUGAAGGUUAUUGGUUCUAAGUCAGCUUCUAUAUCUAUUAUAAGACAAUAGCUAGUUACUAGCAAACUUAAAUAACUUGGCACUGAUUACACUCUGCUGAUUUUGCGUUGUUACCCUCCUCAGGGGGAACAAGCAAGUAAACUUGUGGCAAAGCCGUAUUUUUCAUUAAUUAUAUUAUUGCGUGAAGUGAGAGUGGAGAGAAUUUAGUUUUUAGAUUGAUAUCCAGCGCCCUAGGUAGGUUCCUCUGAAAGAUGUAAAGACUAGUCACGUUUAUCCAAACUAUUUUCAAAAGUUCUUUUCUACCGCGCUUUAUGUAACACUCUUCGGUCUUCUUGAUUUUUGUAAUAGUACAAAAGUUAACCGGAAAAAUGUAGCUCUCGGGCGCACCUACUUGUGUGAGACAAAGUUCUUUCGUACAAGACGCGCGUUUACAUACAAGUAGGUGGUAAUGAAUUUGCACGAUCGAAAAAAAACAGAUCGUUGUGCAACCGCAAAAACGUAUAAAAUGAGCUUUAUCGACUCGUGCCCCGUUGCAGAAUCGCGUUAACCGGAUGUGGCUGUUCCGUGCCGUGUCAGUUUGAUAUCAUUAUCCAAACAGGAGAACACCGUGCUGUUUAGUAGUUAACGUAAAAUAACAGCAGAAAAGGCAAGGCAAACGGAUCUUGUGAUUAAUUUAUCGCGCUCCUCGAUGUAGAGGACGUUAAUUGUAUAGCUGUACAUAAAGCAAAGUUUAUACUGAUCGCUCUCGUUAAGAUAAAAAAAAUUGAAAGGAUUUAUUUUUCUAUACAUAUAUUUGGAGCACGAACGAAGGUGUGUAGCGCGACGGGCGGCGCCCCGACGCGUGGGGGCGUUGUUACGCCCAAUUCCUGUCCAUCGUUCUCUCUUCUCGAUAAGACUGAGUUCCAGACAUAUUUUUUAAUCGGCAAUUCCGUUACCCCAUAAACCUAUUCGCAAAGGAACUUUUCACAUCUGAAGGCCCUUCUUAAUUUAUGCAUUUUCGAAAUCACAUUAGGCCCGUGAUUCUUUGGUAUCGUAGCACAUAAACCGAGCAUUUGACAUGUUUAUUUAUCACUAAAAGAAACAAGAAAAAACACUGGAAAAUUGUGUAGUCGAAAAAGAUAAAUAGAACACGUUGGGGGGGGGGAGAGGGUCGGGAGGAUCGAAGGCGAGAAGGGAUGGUGGAGUAGAUCAGUUCCUUUUCGAGAUUUGUAUUUAACAGGGGAAAAAGUUUCUCGGAUAUUUUCGGAUAAUUUCUUGUGGCUAUUUCUGGCUGCAGUGGGAGGACAGGCAAAUCCAAAAAUAAUUCGUACACUUCACUAGCUGCGAACGCGCAGCUGAGUCACGUAUUAUAAACGUGUGCUACGAUGCUCGAAAAUAAUCGACUUCCAAAAUUUUUGCAGUGCGGGCCUUCUGGUGUUCUCAUUUUUUAGAAAAUUUGUUUUUGGAAAUUUUGAACAAAUUUCUUUUGGUUUCAAACGAUCAAUGGCACUUUGGAUGUAUGCCGAUCCAGAAUUUAGUUUGUCUCUUGAUUUAAGAGUCACGGUUAUGCGUUGAGUACACUAGACUCGAUUCUUUUUUUUUUUAACAAGAGUUUGAGUUUUUGUUUUUUUAGUAUUUUUUUUUUUUUUAAUACGAAUGCGCCCGCUUAACAUAACUUUUGCCUUUGCGUUGCCAAGAGCCCAUCGAUCGCCCUGAAUCGCAGAUUUCACGUGAAUCCAAAGGUGUAAUAUUAUAUGGUGUUAGAUAGCGUGUGAGAAUCGUAGAUGCUUCGGCGCCUAAUCGAAAGAGUUGUACCAGAGGGAGAGUGUUUACUCAGGCUUUUAUUUUUGUGUGACUGCGUGCGUGCAUUUAAAGAUCAACUAGCAGCUCGCGAUAAUAGCUAAUGCUUAGGGAUUUCAAACGUACGAAAACGAUAAAAAGAAUCGUGCCAAACAUCAAUAAGACAAAUCCAAAGAGCACGCACGAUUUUUGAAAAGGUGAAAAAAAAAAGAGAAAAGUUUAAGAUCCGAUACCUUUACUGUUGGGAGGUAGUGCGUUUGAUAUAUCUGGGAGAUUUACGUGUUUAGAGAUUUUCUCAUAAGACGGUGGCUGUUAGUUUGCUAACGAUUACUAAGUUACAUUAGUCUAUAUAGUGAGAAAUAUCGAGAUACAUAAAAGGAAAGUAAUAAUAAUCGAUUUUAAAUUAAGGCACGUUUUAUCCAGUGUAAAAUAGUUUAUCGAUAUUUAUACGAGACAUUAACGAGAACCUGCAACCGCUUCUCUGAAAUUUAAAAAAAAAAGUAUUUUCAAAUUUUCGUCUUUCCAAAUAUUCUGUGUCUUGGGUCAUCGACGUCUUGGAGUUCGUUUUAAAUAUUUUUUUGACUUAACGUAAUAUUAACAUCGUGUUAUCCAUCGUGCCCUUCUGGUACUGGCCAGUGAAGUGAAAGAGUUACUGAUAUUUUAAUUACUCUCCGAAUUUUUUAUUAAGUACAUCACAUUUUUUGUCUGUUUCUACUACGAUAUAGUAUUUGAUAAUUUGUUGCAUCACUCAAUUUUUUCCUGUGUAAUUUAACAAUUUCCAUCUAGUUUUUCACUUAAUUAUUAUUAGCUAGAGACGAGCAACGACUAUCCCACAAGUUUUCACAAUUUUGUGAUACUUGCGAGAUAGCCGUUGCUCGUCUACGGUGCUGAAUUUCUUUUUGAGGAAAUAACGUUUACAGUGGGAAAGGAUAUUUCGAUUAAAAAUUAAUAAUAAAAGCAGUAUAAAUUGUUCUCUAGUUAGUUUUGACUGAGGUCACGACAUAAUACUUUCGAUUAGCGUUCCUGUUUUUACUACAAUAAAAAUGCAAAUUUGCCCCAUGAGAUAAAGAGAGCAGACAUCACUUGAAUUUAUAUAAAAGUUCUGAAUAUUCUUAAAUUUCAAAAACAACAUCGUAUAAUAUCCUAUCAUAUUUGCGCGUUUCACGAAUCGUAUGAAAUGUGUUGCGAGUAGUUUGAAUAUCAUUGUCAAGAGGUUGGUUUUUACCCGAAUUUGAAAAAGCGUAAAAAAAGCAUAUCUUAAAAAAAGAGGGGAAAAGGUAGCAAUUACUCUACUGGCAUUUCAACAAGGGAAUACUUGAAAUUCAUUUGAGUAGAAGGUGGUAGUAAAAGGAAUAGAUUCAGCGAGACACUAGGGGUCUAACAAGGGUCAAGAGUUCAGCCUCGCGAACAACCCUCGUCUUUUCCAUGGCAGCCCAACUCCGCGCCAUGGAAAAGACGACGGUUGUUCGUUGUAAAGAAAUACAAUCAACAAAAAUAAAAAAAAGUUUUCAACAUUCUCACAAAACUUUGUCCCAAAAGAAACAAACUCUAACCUCAAAACAACGCAAUGCGAUACACGUUACAAUUUUCUAUACAAAUCCCACGCAGACCCACUACAAAGAACGAUGUCCCUACAAGAUAAAGUAAUAAAAUUCUUGUAUAGCCCAUCAACCCAGUACCAACAAAGCAAAGUAACGCAAAAUAUAUCCCCAACUUCAUAGCAGAGAGUAGAGCAAUUAGAGAUUCGUCCAACAAAAGCAACGUGGUGCAAUAAUAACACAAUGAAAAUCCGCAUUAAGCUUACCUGAAAUUUAUCCUUGUCAGCCUGAACUGUACUUGCACCCCCAGAAUUCUGACGCACCACGUUCCUCCAGGGUCGGUAGUAUCCACUGUUGCCAAAUGCCGAUCUUGGUCGGUUCAAGCUCAAGCUCGAGAGUCCUGAUAGAAGAUCGUCACGAUUCAGACCGCUGCCAAAGUGCUGAUCAAUGAGUCGUGAGGUAGGUCGAUCGAAGUCGUCCCACCAUUCGCGAUACAUGAGAGGUACGACGGACAUCUGUCACGAGGAGAAUGAGAGAUACAUUGUGAAAGAAAAAAGCAGUCCAAGUGAAUAAUUUUAAUUGACGAGUCAUUUUCAUUGUGGUGAUUUUUCGAGGAGAGAUUGAUAAAUGCGAGGAAUGGUUAAAAGAGGGAUUAAAACAAAAAAAAAUUUAAAAAAAAUAAAAAAAUCUUUAGGGCGUGUCGAGAAAGCGCUUUUGUGUAUACCACGACUGACUACCGUAGGAAGAGUGUAACUUUUAGUAGCGGUAUUUAAAGGUAUACUAUGGGUGCGUAGACUUAUGCUUAGGUUAUACCUAAUAUGCUAGGAUUGUAUGUGCUAAUUUUUUAAAGUUAUUCUGUACGGCUCUAGUAACAGUAACAGGCGGGAAAUUUAAAAAUGGCUCAUUGAAAGGAUUUUCUUCCUUUUCUCUUCCGAUUUGAAUAUCUCAGUGUUUUUUCACGGAUUACCGUUUCUUAGAAUCGUAUUAUUCGGAAUUGUUCAACGGUCACUAUUCACGAGCGAUCCCUUCCGGUGAGCCAAAGUUUAGAUACAGUCAGGUUCCGAGCGGAGGUAAUAAUAUUCGAGGCGUCUUUGUAACUCGCACAAUUAGAUUAUACGGUGUUUUUGGCGUAGGCUAUGUAAUCUCGACGUAUAGUUUCGCAUAGGUAUUUUCUUAGCGUUAGGGUAUUUUUUGUCCUUUCAAAUCCCAUAUUAACCACGCGAUUUUUCUCACCCCUAUACGUAUAACGUAGAAUCGAAAAUUGGUGACAAGACAUCAAAAUUAAUUAGUAACGAGCUCAAAUUAUGCAACAAAUUUUUACCUUGCAAUUGGCAUUGUGACGUGUGAUAGCGAUUUUUUGAAAUCAAAACAGAACAAGGAUCGACAAACCGGGGUAAUGAUAAUUGCCUGCCAUGUCGAUAAACGCGAAUCGAGAUGCUUUUUUUGAUAAUUGGACAAACGCAAUGAAAAUUGAAUUUUUAACCAUGAAAAAAUCAAAUCUCACCUCACUUCAUUAUUUUUAGGUUAAUCGUUUAAAGAUCUAAUUCUUGCAGAACACAGAACGUUAAAAUUUAUCUCACCAGUGUCCACUUAAUAUCUUGUAGUGCGUAACAUAAAUUGAGGUUAACGCUUGAGACAAGGAAUAGCUAGGAAUAAAAGCGUGAUCAUCGGCGUGGAAUAUCGUGAGUUCUAGCAAGGAACGAAAACAAAAAAAUCGCGGAAUACAAAUAAUACCGUAGCGAUCCGUGCGCACCAGUAGACACUUUACAGUUCCUUGUCUAAUAUCUAUAUAUCUUCUUAAACGUCCCACUAAUUACACUACGUUAAGUUAGAUUAGGGUCAAAAGUGUCGGAGAUUUAAGGUCGGUCAGGUUUAAGCACAUUGUACCUAAUACUAAGCGCGUUUAACGGUUUUUGGAAUUAAUAUGUAUGCACAAAGUCGGGUCUGAAUUGAAAAUCACAAACAACGAGAAAGGAUCGAAUGAAAAGAAAUUGACAGAAGAAAAAUUUAUUGAGCCAGUUUCUCCAUGCACGAGAUAUAUUGACGUUUGACACGCGGGCGCGCACGUAUUUACGACAUUGCUAUCAAUAGAAAAAAGUAGGCUUAAACAUCAAGUCAGGGAAUAAAGUUAAACGAGACGCGAGGUUUAUUGAAUACGUAAUGUUAGUGGAGUGAUAAGGCCUUUUUUAUCACGUAUAACGAUAAUACCAGUUAGAUUUAUCGAUUAUAGGGAUAAGAUAGGGUUUCGCGUAAACCUUCUAUCGUAUUGAUACGUUAAAUAAUGUUAAAGUCAGGAAAAAUGCACUCGUCACGCAAAACUCUGUUAUACGUAAGUGUAAUAUCUGUAACUGUUUAUAAACGUACGGUGAACGAUGGCUGCGGUCUUUAAGCUCUUUGGAUCUUGACGAAAUAAAAAUUUCAGGACUUUAGGCUUGUAAAAGCUCUCUCUAUGCUCUGAUAGAAAUCGCGAAUGUUCCUCGAGUUUAAAUAGACGACGUAGGCGUCCCGAGGAGGAUCUUCCCCUUCCACCGUUAAAAUUGACGGUUGGCAGUCCCCCCUCGCCCCCUUGAACCCCCCUCUCUUACAAACCCUUAUUCUUUCGUCACUUAUACCCCACGCACAAAUCUUACUAUACUCGUCCAAAAAUAUCCUGUGGACUUCAUUCGGCGCUGCGAGUCACCUCUAGUGUACUUAUGAUUCUUGGCGUCCUGACGCUCUUCGAACCCCGAGGUAUUUUACGUUUGCUGAAUCACACCUGGGGAACGUUGAGUUGCGAUCUUGAAUAUCUACUGGAUGUUGGGAAAUUUGUAUGCGGGCGGUUUUUAUGCGUGGGAUGUUAUCGCAUUGAAAUAUCAAUUUCGAAACGUUCGGUUGGCUUUGAGAAAAGGUUAGGAAAUUUCGAGGGACGGAUUUUUUGGAGUAUAAACGAACUUUGAUACGAUCCAUUGUAUCACAGUGUGGGACAAGUAAUGAAGUUACGUCUUUCUUCCAUUUCAUCGUGUUGAUCGCUGAAGAAUUUUAUGCUUGGAAAGGAAGAUUAACUUGCUUGAAUUGCCAGUUGCUGAUUAAUAUUUCACUUUUGACCUGUUGACGUUAAACGACGUCCUUUAUAUUGUGAGUGCUUUGCCUUUAAGAGCUGAAGAAUGUUCGUAGGAACAACAGUCUGAGUAAGCGAAGAGGGAGGGAGGGCACGUUUAUGAUUAACGAUGACAGAAUAUUCUUAGGGCUCGAUUUGAUUAUUUGAAAGAAAGGCAAAAAGCAUCCGAGAACCUUGAAACACCAUGGAAAAGCGGUGCAGGUUGGGGUAGGAUGUAUAUCAUAAGGUUUUGUGUACUUUUCUUAGCUAUGAGAGUCGCAAAAAAAAAAUUAAAAAAAGAACAAAAAAAUAUAUAUCCACAUACAUCAUUCGCUAUGCUGUAUAACCUUACUUUUAGAGGCAGGUAUAACGUAUGGGAUAACUCUUGCAAACAAUGCCUUUUGAAUUAUUCUAACAUCCGUAAAUAUUAUCUUGAACGUCACGCAAGACUUUUUCCAAUUUUUACUACACUCUCUGACCCUAUCUUUUUACAUAUAUAUUUUACACAUACAAUUUUACAUAUAAUAUAUGCUGAAGCCCCCCAAAAGAUGACCCAGUACGAAUUUUCAUAUGCUUUUUUAGAAAUGUAUGGUAUUUUGAUUAUCUAUUUUUUUAAAUUUUAACUAUCACCUUUCUACCCUUAUCUAUGGUAUAUACAUAUUCAAUGGACCUCUAACUGAGCGAAUAAAAUUGAAGUACAGUUUUUAGACGUCUUUAACAUAUUGAAUUAUAUAUUGCUCAGAUUUCUCUUCAAUCAUAUCACGAUGUAAUAUCGUAGAUUCACAUUAACAAGUGUAAUACCAAUUAUUCGUUGCGUUUACCAGAAACCCAAUUAUAGUUUUAGUAUUAAGUUACAUAACCAUAAUAAGGAGAUAAGUAAUAUUAUGCGGCAUUAUAGUUUGUAAAACGUAGCGGUACGAAAGGGUAGGCCUUAAAACGUUUAACAAUCGAUGAUCGCUUCACGGAAGUAUUAUUAUAAUUUAAUGGCAAUGGCAUAUAAAUCAAGCUUUUUACUCGAAUUAAUUAAUUACAGUAUAAUAAUUAAUUGACUGUAUAACGAAAAAAAAAACUUGGAAAUAUUCGAUAAUACUAAGUCUACUGGAUAAAACGAUGUGUAGUUUUCGAUUAUUGUACUCUUUUUAGAGAAAAAAAAUGGAUACUCAAAUUUUAAUUCAUUAUCUCUCAAUAAUAUGUGUAGGUAAUGGUGGAUUUGAUCUGAUCUGGAUUUAUUAACAUCGUAUAUAUAUGUAUUACAUAUGUCCCCUGUGUAACUUAGUAACGUUCGUUGAUAUGGUGUUUGCAUUGUAUGAUGAAUAUAACUAUAUGGUACUUUUGUAUUUUUUACGUAAAAAACAUCCCCGUUAUUAUUAUUAUUCCUUCUGUACGUGUAGUUGUUCACAGCAAUAUAAGCAUACUCUAGAUUAUCAGCGCUAGUGGUGCCAUUUAUCGAUGACAUUACUCGACAAUACAAUCUUUUUAGUUAACCCCUUCUGUUUUUCCAAUAUACUAUUUUGAAAGUAAGGAGUAAAGAGAAAGUAAGUUCUCCGCGUCUCACGAUACCAUGUAAAACUCUAGGACACAUCUAUAUAGAUAUAUAGCAAGGAAAUAUUGGCUUAAAAGGAAACAAUAAAGUUGUGAAAUCUGAUGAAUGAUA